This 220-nucleotide long non-coding RNA is filed under the name Hordeum vulgare. RNAcentral describes it as "long non-coding RNA (HVUL_LNC019826)". Lineage: Eukaryota; Viridiplantae; Streptophyta; Magnoliopsida; Poales; Poaceae. The record is from RNAcentral.
GUGCAACAAAGUGGCCCAAUCCCUUUUGUAGCAAGGGACAAGCCUGGACAAACUCUUAUAGGAGGUAAAGCGCUCCUUAGAACACAUGAGAAUUUCUGUCAAGCUAGUUUUCAUCAUGUUCAUAUGAUUCGCGUUCGCUACUUUGAUAGUUUGAUAUGUGGGUGGACCGGUGCUUGGGUGCUGCCCUUACUUGGACAAACCUCCCACGUAUGAUUAGCCC